CCUGAGAGCUCCCCUGCCCGCACUCCAGCCACUUGGGGACACAGCAGAAAGAUGGCUGUGUAUGAGCCAGGAAGAGGGUCCUCGCCAGAUAUCAAAUCUGCCUGCACUUUGAUCUUGGACUCCCAGCCUCCAGGACUGGAAACAGACCCACAAAGAGCAGAAGAAACGACCACGGACAACGAGGGAGCAGCCAGAGGAAUGUUUCCAAGCGGGAACAACGGUCAGAGAACUAUCAGCUGGAAGAAAGGAUAACCACAUACUUCUUUGCGUCGACUAAAAUUUUUGAGAAAUAUAAGAGGUAAGAAAGCGGGGAGGGAAAUCUGAGUAUACAGAGUCAAGCCCCCUUCAGAGAGUCUCUGAAUGCCACAGACCCACUGGCCGCCGUCUGGGCUUACCAGCGCCCCCUGGAAGCUGCCACGAUUAGCACAGGCCCCGUGAUGUCAUCUGCACACUGAUGCCUGAGGAAGACCUCUGAGAGCACUGGUCAGAAGGCACGAAGGAACUACGGAAGGAGAACGAGUGGGUGCAGAGGGAGAUGAUAAAUAAUCACCUACCUACCUGCCUG
This is a long non-coding RNA of Felis catus (domestic cat), 565 nucleotides long. RefSeq lists it as uncharacterized. Lineage: Eukaryota; Metazoa; Chordata; Mammalia; Carnivora; Felidae. The record is from RefSeq and is a predicted model, not a curated record. The transcript is spliced from 2 exons.